AUCACUACACCGACGACUAGAUACGAGAAAUCCCUGACCAUUUGGAUCCUAAAUACUACAAAACAAGGAAUACCCCUGCACUGGAAAAAAAGACUCACCCCCACCCCUCACCCUGUGGUUUGAUGAAGUGGAGGACUUACAACAACUGAAGGAAUUGACAUUUACUGCUCAGACACACACACAGAGAUACGUAGACACAUGGACACACAGGUUAACGGU
Molecule: non-coding RNA, 219 nt
Organism: Pelobates cultripes (western spadefoot toad)
Lineage: Eukaryota; Metazoa; Chordata; Amphibia; Anura; Pelobatidae
Source: the annotation of a GenBank genome assembly